Molecule: non-coding RNA, 403 nt
Organism: Pelobates cultripes (western spadefoot toad)
Lineage: Eukaryota; Metazoa; Chordata; Amphibia; Anura; Pelobatidae
Source: the annotation of a GenBank genome assembly
CUCCCUUACACAUAUAUUUGUUUUGUUGAGCCGUUCAAGAGUAUAUUCCCAUUUUACAAUGAGAACCUUGGGGAAGCAGCAUUUUAUUCUUCUAUAUUUCUUUACUUUUGUGUUUAGCAGAAAUAAUAGGAGGAGUCUAUGGUUUAUCUAGACCAGUGGGAAAUACAUAAAUCCUGGAUUGUUGGUGGUCUAUGAGGACUGGGUUGGAAACCGCUGAUCUAGACAGAGCAUUUUAAACUAAUACUCCAAGCAAACUAACUGCUUUAAUGGUCAUGGUGUAAGAACUGCCACGGCACUGUCCCAGCCUAAUCUGUCAAAAUAUUUUGCAUGGUUUGAAACCUUCUUGGGUCCACCUGGUGCCCAUACGAGUUCCAGUCUUCCAACUGGAGAAGUCAGAUUCCAG